This 474-nucleotide ribosomal RNA is filed under the name uncultured bacterium. Its description in RNAcentral is "partial 16S ribosomal RNA". It matches the Rfam family "Bacterial small subunit ribosomal RNA", at positions 28 to 507 of the family's 1533-position model. The record is from RNAcentral.
GACGAACGCUGGCGGCGUGCUUAACACAUGCAAGUCGAGCGGUAAGGCUCCUUCGGGAGUACACGAGCGGCGCACGGGUGAGUAACACGUGAGUAAUCUGCCCUUCACUUCGGGAUAACCACCGGAAACGGUGGCUAAUACCGAAUACGACCAGUCUUCGCAUGAGGUGCUGGUGGAAAGUCUUUUCGGUGGAGGGUGUGGUCGCGGCCGAUCAGCUUGUUGGUGGGGUAAUGGGCUAAGAAGGCUUCGACGGGUAGGCGGCCCGGGAGGGGGACCGGCCACACUGGGACCGAGACACGGGCCAGACGGCUACGAGAGGCAGCGGUGGGGAAUAUUGGAAAAUGGGCGCAAUCCUGAGACAGCUACGCCACGUGAGGGAUGACGGGGAUCGGGUUGUAAACCUCUUACAGUACCGACGAAGCGCCCUGUGGGGUAGUGACGGUAGGUACAGAAGAAGGACCGGCCAACUACGUG